CGGAGCUGUGGAGUGUGACAAUGGUGUUUGUGUCAAAUCCAUCAAACGCCAUUAUCACACUAAUUAGCUACGAU
RNAcentral lists this microRNA precursor (74 nucleotides) under Pelobates cultripes (western spadefoot toad). It matches the Rfam family "mir-122 microRNA precursor family". From Rfam's summary of the family: In mammals, miR-122 is enriched in liver cells where it has been implicated as a regulator of fatty-acid metabolism in mouse studies. The hairpin precursors (represented here) are predicted based on base pairing and cross-species conservation -- their extents are not known. The record is from RNAcentral. Lineage: Eukaryota; Metazoa; Chordata; Amphibia; Anura; Pelobatidae.